AGAGUUUGAUCCUGGCUCAGAUUGAACGCUGGCGGCAUGCUUUACACAUGCAAGUCGGACGGCAGCACAGAGAAGCUUGCUUCUUGGGUGGCGAGUGGCGAACGGGUGAGUAAUAUAUCGGAACGUACCGAGUAAUGGGGGAUAACUAAUCGAAAGAUUAGCUAAUACCGCAUAUUCUCUGAGGAGGAAAGCAGGGGACCUUCGGGCCUUGCGUUAUUCGAGCGGCCGAUAUCUGAUUAGCUAGUUGGUGGGGUAAAGGCCUACCAAGGCGACGAUCAGUAGCGGGUCUGAGAGGAUGAUCCGCCACACUGGGACUGAGACACGGCCCAGACUCCUACGGGAGGCAGCAGUGGGGAAUUUUGGACAAUGGGCGCAAGCCUGAUCCAGCCAUGCCGCGUGUCUGAAGAAGGCCUUCGGGUUGUAAAGGACUUUUGUCAGGGAAGAAAAGGCUGUUGCUAAUACCGACAGCUGAUGACGGUACCUGAAGAAUAAGCACCGGCUAACUACGUGCCAGCAGCCGCGGUAAUACGUAGGGUGCGAGCGUUAAUCGGAAUUACUGGGCGUAAAGCGAGCGCAGACGGUUACUUAAGCAGGAUGUGUAAUCCCCGGGCUCAACCUGGGAACUGCGUUCUGAACUGGGUGACUAGAGUGUGUCAGAGGGAGGUAGAAUUCCACGUGUAGCAGUGAAAUGCGUAGAGAUGUGGAGGAAUACCGAUGGCGAAGGCAGCCUCCUGGGAUAACACUGACGUUCAUGCUCGAAAGCGUGGGUAGCAAACAGGAUUAGAUACCCUGGUAGUCCACGCCCUAA
This 808-nucleotide ribosomal RNA is filed under the name uncultured Neisseria sp. RNAcentral describes it as "bacterial SSU rRNA". It matches the Rfam family "Bacterial small subunit ribosomal RNA", at positions 8 to 805 of the family's 1533-position model. Lineage: Bacteria; Pseudomonadati; Pseudomonadota; Betaproteobacteria; Neisseriales; Neisseriaceae. The record is from RNAcentral.